Molecule: ribosomal RNA, 403 nt
Filed under: uncultured bacterium
Lineage: Bacteria
Description: partial 16S ribosomal RNA
Rfam family: Bacterial small subunit ribosomal RNA
Source: RNAcentral
AUUGAACGCUGGCGGCAGGCCUAACACAUGCAAGUCGAGCGAGCGGCGGACGGGUGAGUAAAGUAUGGGGACUGCCCGAUAGAGGGGGAUAACUACUGGAAACGGUAGCUAAUACCGCAUACUUCGGGAUAACCCAUAUGGGGGUAGCUAGUUGGUGAGGUAAGGGCUCACCCAGGCGACGAUCCCUCGCUGGUCUGAGAGGAUGAUCAGCCACACUGGGACUGAGACACGGCCCAGACUCCUACGGAGGCAGCAGUGGGGAAUAUUGCACAAUGGGCGCAAGCCUGAUGCAGCCAUGCGGCGUGUAUGAAGACUUUCUUCGGAUUGUAAACUUCUUUAUACAGGGACGCGGUACCUGUAGAAUAAGCCACGGCUAACUACGUGCCAGCAGCCGCGGUAAUUC